Pangasianodon hypophthalmus (striped catfish) is the source of this 667-nucleotide long non-coding RNA. RefSeq lists it as uncharacterized. Lineage: Eukaryota; Metazoa; Chordata; Actinopteri; Siluriformes; Pangasiidae. The transcript has 3 exons. The record is from RefSeq and is a predicted model, not a curated record.
AAACAGGCAAAAACGGCACGCUCCUUUGUGGAACAAACUUUCUUCAGGAAAUAAAAAACAUUGUCAUCAUUUUACAGGCAGCUUUGUCGACUGAAGAUGAAUAGACCUAGACAGACACAACGCAUUCGCGAAGAGUCUGCAGACUCCUCUGUGUGUUUGGCAGUUCUCAGGAGGAUGCUCCAGAGCAUUUUCGCCUGUAGAGUCUGUGCAGGUAUUGUUAGACCCCCAGUGGAGGAGACUGAAGCAGCAGGACCCCAAAGCUCAGUGCGUCCCUUCUUCUCUGAAACACCUCCACCGUCAUAACAGCAGCAUCAGCACCAGAGCCGUUUUAUUCGCCAUAUAUAUUUACAUGUGUUGGGAAUUUUUCUUGGUGUUCGGUCACAACACAAUACAUUCAACACAGUUUGCAACACACACAUCACAGACAAGACAGCAUACAACACAAUUGCCAUCCUAAUAUCCAAAUAUUGCACCGUAAGCAGACAUUUGGAAGUUUCAGUUGUCAGUUAUAGAUGUAGAUGUAGAUGUAGAUGUAGAUGUAGAUGUAGAUGUAGCUGUAGAUGUAGCUGUAGAUACAGCAGCUGAAUGCAGUUCAGAGUGAUACACAGUGAUACACUAUAUCACUAUUGAGUGAUAAACAAUAAAUAGAAAUAGCAAUGAUGUAGUA